Long non-coding RNA from Gavialis gangeticus (Gharial), 745 nucleotides. RefSeq lists it as uncharacterized. The record is from RefSeq and is a predicted model, not a curated record. The transcript has 2 exons. Lineage: Eukaryota; Metazoa; Chordata; Crocodylia; Gavialidae.
CCCCGCCCCGCCCCGGGGAGCGGCACCCACGACCUGAGAGUGCUACAGUUUUAUUAAAAAAUGUGAAUAAAAACACACGCAGCUCAUUAUUGGGAGUUGUUGGAAGAAGAUUCCAAAGAUUGGAUUCAGAGGUGAUGCAAAAAGAUGGACAGACUCAGUUGGACUUCCAUAGAACAUGCACCCACAACACCAUGCUCCAGGAAAUCUAGAUUGGUGUCAUUUUCCACCAAAGAGCAGGAAGAAGGCAUGUGAAGGUGCAAAUGAAAGUCAAGAUUCAACUCCUAACUUAUACUUUCGUACACUGCUAAUGAACUGCUGUUCUCCCUCUCCUCUGACACCUUGGUAUGUGUCACCAACUUACAGUCUUAUGUUUUUGUGAGUCAAAUUCAGACAGCAGAAGAGUGUAAGGGGCUGGGUUAAAAGUCAUAUCAAUGUAAAAAGGAAAUCUUAAACAGAAUUCUUAAACGGGAGAUACUGGGUUGCUGAUAUAUUUAGCAUUGGCAAAUUCUUCUGCAUAAAGUGUUGCGCUUUCAGUUACUCUCAUAUCCUCAGUUGCAGAACUAAAGCAUAGCAACUCUGAGUUUUUAAGCUAUGUGAAUGCAAAAUAGUUUUAUAAUGCUGUGAGUUAUUUCAAACAACAAACUAUUGACUGGGAGAUAUAAUGGUAGUAUUAUGAAAUGCAUUUUGUUGUAGGGACUUGUAUCACCUCCUGAAUGGUGUUUAAAUAAAUGUUAAAUUCAGCGUG